This 564-nucleotide long non-coding RNA is filed under the name Gallus gallus (chicken). Lineage: Eukaryota; Metazoa; Chordata; Aves; Galliformes; Phasianidae. The record is from RNAcentral.
AGAAAGUUCAGCUCCUUGGAAAGACAGUUUCCUGCAGUGUCUCUUCAGUAUUUACCUUCUUCUGAUUUCCAGCUUGAAUGAAUGCAGCCACGAUACAGACACAGUCCUCCAGCGAAGCAGGCAGAACACAGUAAGGGCAAACAGUCCCGAGAAAGGAAGGGAGGGAAGAAUGUGGGGCAAAGUUGCUGUAUAAUGCUGCCUGGAACAUCAGAUUCCCAUCUGGAAGUUCAAGAUGGUGGAAGAUGUUUAUGCCAGAGGUAAAAGGAUAAAGAUGGCAGAUUACAUAUGAAUCCUCAGCAGUGUGAGUGCUGUAUUUGAGUCAUUCUUGGACCUGGCUAUCCCAUCUUACAAAAACAUCUGAUUUGGGAUAUAACAAAGGGUUCCUUUGUUUAGGCAAGAAGGUGGUGUCUGACACGAAGACGCUCCAUUACAACACAGACAAGGUAUCAAAGCUGGAUUUAAAUAAAUGCAUGUCAAGCUGUGACAGACAUGAUUCAGUAAAGCACUAAAUUCACCAGUUUAAGACUGACAAUUGUCUUUGAGUUCCACUAUUCCCACUCAUUU